This 253-nucleotide ribosomal RNA is filed under the name uncultured prokaryote. Its description in RNAcentral is "partial 16S ribosomal RNA". It matches the Rfam family "Bacterial small subunit ribosomal RNA", at positions 524 to 776 of the family's 1533-position model. The record is from RNAcentral.
UACGGAGGGUGCAGGCGUUAUCCGGAUUCACUGGGUUUAAAGGGUGCGUAGGCGGGCAGGUAAGUCAGUGGUGAAAUCCCCGAGCUCAACUUGGGAAUUGCCGUUGAUACUAUCUGUCUUGAAUAUCGUGGAGGUGAGCGGAAUAUGUCAUGUAGCGGUGAAAUGCUUAGAUAUGACAUAGAACACCCAUUGCGAAGGCAGCUCACUACACGAUAAUUGACGCUGAGGCACGAAAGCGUGGGGAGCAAACAGG